Molecule: transfer RNA, 74 nt
Filed under: Klebsiella pneumoniae
Lineage: Bacteria; Pseudomonadati; Pseudomonadota; Gammaproteobacteria; Enterobacterales; Enterobacteriaceae
Also listed under: 3 other names
Description: tRNA-Cys
Rfam family: tRNA
About the family: Transfer RNA (tRNA) molecules are approximately 80 nucleotides in length. Their secondary structure includes four short double-helical elements and three loops (D, anti-codon, and T loops).
Source: RNAcentral
GGCGGCAUAGCCAAGUGGUAAGGCGAAGGACUGCAACUCCUUGAUCAUUGGUUCGAAUCCGAUUGUCGCCUCCA